Molecule: long non-coding RNA, 1262 nt
Filed under: Corvus moneduloides (New Caledonian crow)
Lineage: Eukaryota; Metazoa; Chordata; Aves; Passeriformes; Corvidae
Description: lncRNA (ENSCMUG00000016834.1)
Source: RNAcentral
GGGUGCUUCUUUUAAGCAAAAGAACUGAUUUUUGAUUCUAUAUAUUUCUUGUCAGAAAUGCUUCUCUGGCCUCCAUGGGAUGAAAAGGAUGAAAAAUUAUCCAAGAUACCACAAAAAUAAACAGAUUAAAAAAAGAAUGAGUACAAGCCAGAUGGGAUUUUUAAAGAGUCAGCUGAAGGAAGCUCUAGGCCAUAGCUGACUUUUGCUAUAUUCUGGGAAGGAACUGUCCUCGCCAGAGCUACAGGGAUACUAGUGUGUUUGACCAGAACCACACUGCUCCUUUUAGAGGCUAUCAGCUCUGUUUGGAAUACCCUCUGGAAAGCAGCAGGAGCUGGACAACACCAGCUUCUCACAGGUGUUAUGGAACAUCCUUGGCUGGCAUAUGAACUGCAGCUCCUUAGAGGAGGGGGACGCUGCAGAUCAGCUGAGAGGCAGCAUCUGGCCACUGCAAUGAUAGCACCACGUGGAUCAUUUCCUGUCAUUUACAACAUGGAUCUGUCCACUUGUGUCUGAAGUAACACUUCGUGUCUUUCUCUCCAGGAAACAGUAACUCUUCUUCCUCACCUACUGUUAUAAAGCAGAAAUGAUCAGUGGAUAUGGUUUCCAGCUCUAGAACCAAUCACCAUUAGAAAAACCUUGGAAAGCAUGCAGAUGAUGUUCAGGGAGACCAAGUUAGAAAUGGUAACAAGAUAAUCUUAAUGCAAAGAUAGGAACCAUCUUUCUUGUCUUACCUCAGCCCUGAAACCUGAUCCUCUUUCAUUCUAGUAAAUGGAAGCAUCCACAGGAAUUUAAGGGAAAAGAACCAAGACCCUUUUGCCCACAAUAAAGAAAGGAUUUUUUGUGUAUUCUUGCCUGAGCAACAUAUUGACAUAGAUGCUGCAUUUCUGUGAUUUUGUUGCUCAGCACAGGUCAUGUGAAAAACACAUUCUUACUUCUUCCUUUUGUGAGGAACAAACAUACACAAGUGCACCUUUGUAAUCAAGACUAUGAAACGAGGGCAGGCAGUGCACCUGUGGAAAGUUUCAGUAGGUGAUGGUUUAAGACAUUCAUAAUACUCUCCCAUAGGCGGAUGUUAAUUUUUCUUUCCAGCUGAGGGAAAAAAGGUGGGAGUCACCCAGCUAAAUCUGUCGAAUGAGAGAGAAUCUUAGUAUAAAUAGGUCUUGCUCUAAAAAUGUCUCCAUUGACUGUAAGGGGCACCCAGGUCUCUUGUCACAGAUGUCAGUUAAAUGAAUUCCACUCUGUAUGUGAAAAUGGGGUAAUUA